RNAcentral lists this ribosomal RNA (246 nucleotides) under uncultured bacterium. RNAcentral's name for it is "partial 16S ribosomal RNA". It matches the Rfam family "Bacterial small subunit ribosomal RNA", at positions 527 to 772 of the family's 1533-position model. The record is from RNAcentral.
GGAGGAUCCAAGCGUUAUCCGGAUUUAUUGGGUUUAAAGGGCGCGUAGGCGGUUUAGUAAGUCAGCGGUGAAAUUUUGGCGCUCAACACCAAACGUGCCGUUGAUACUGCUGAGCUAGAGAGUAGUUGCGGUAGGCGGAAUGUAUGGUGUAGCGGUGAAAUGCUUAGAGAUCAUACAGAACACCGAUUGCGAAGGCAGCUUACCAAACUAUAUCUGACGUUGAGGCACGAAAGCGUGGGGAGCAAA